Nomascus leucogenys (northern white-cheeked gibbon) is the source of this 1019-nucleotide long non-coding RNA. RefSeq lists it as uncharacterized. The record is from RefSeq and is a predicted model, not a curated record. The transcript is spliced from 3 exons. Lineage: Eukaryota; Metazoa; Chordata; Mammalia; Primates; Hylobatidae.
AUCACCCUCAGGGUACCAUUAUUACAGAGCUGGUAGCUGUUCCGAACUUGAUCUGGAAAAAUGUUUCCAUGGUACUUUGCAGCCAUCAGUCGAAGGCUGCCUUCAAUUAGCACACAUACCAUGUGAAGCCACAGGUCAGAUCCACUACAAAUCAAAGCCCAGAAUUCUUCAAGAAAAUGGAGAGAAGAAGUCAAUCUUCCCCAUCCUCAUGCUUUUACUGCUGACUGCAUCUGAUACCACCCCCACUCAAGAGAACUCUGAAGAGACUCAAAUACAUCAGGGAGAUGGAGCCAGUGGGUGCUGAUAAUGUGUUUAUCUUCCCCAGUGGAAACUACACGAGUCAAUCAGACUUCUGACCUUUUCCUUUAUCGAAAAGUUACAGGAAGGAAAUGUGAGUCAGAGACUCCUUUUACAGAUAGAUACACUGAUUCCUGAUCGUCUGGGCAAAGGAGCUGGCCUGGGCUGGCCUCUGAGAAGUCAGCUUUUGGGGCAGUGAGCAAGUGUGUACCUGUCGCUCCUGCGACUCCAGCCGUCACGCAGAAGGACAGAAUCUACAUCAUUAAUCAUUUGGCAGAGCAGAAAUAGAGUCACUGAAACAGGCUCUGCUGUGGGAUAAUAGUCCAGAAAUGUCACCAUUUAUCUAGUGAGAGGACACUUUUAUCCUCUGACAACGGGCUAGCCCACCGACAUUAUAUCUUAAUUAAAAGAAAAAUUAAUCGGGACAAUUCAUUUUCUUGCCAGCCCCAGUGCUUGCCCUGGACUGCAAAACACGUCUAAUAGCAACAAUAACCACAGGGUGGGCAGAGACCUUUGAGAUCCCAGUCUCGGAGAGAGAAUGUUAAAGAGCUCCAGUCCCAGGGCAACCAACUCAUCAAACAAAUGCUUAAAAGACAGAAUCAGGAUGGAACAAGAAAAUAUGAAAUCUAGUGGUGGGCCAGGAGAAUAAAUGGCCUUUGAGAAGAUAACUAUGUGUUUUGGGUUGGUGGGGAGAGGUGGUGGUGAUGGAAGGGUAAGAGGUA